CACAGGAACUCUGUGACCUGGAAAAUGUGGGACAACUGACACAAGAUGUUGGUGUAAAAACUGCUUGAGAAGCAUCUGUGAGAGAUACCGCGCUGUCCGUCUCCCAGGAAGGAAGUUCGUAUCUCUUGUGCGUGUUCUAAUUUUAAAAUUAACACAGGACUCCAAAAAUUCAACUGAGAAAUGGGAAUGAUCUUCCAGGUCCAAUGAUAUUAGUGUCUGGACCAAAGUCACAGCUACUGGCUUCCUGAAGACAGUGAUAUACAGACUGGGUCUCCACCAUGUGCAUGAGCUAGGAAAGGGCAGAAGAAAGAACUGGAGGAGAAUUGGUCCCGAUAGAAGGGAAGAGAUGUGAGAAGGAUAGAAGAAAUUGUGACUGGGGCAGGCCCACUGACCUCCAGUGGAGCCACGGGCAGAGCACCCAAGACUGACUGAGCCCUGCUGUGUCCGGCUGGCUACACCUCCUUGAGACCAAGAGCUGAUAAGGAUCCCCCAGGCAGGCCCACCAGCCGCCUGUGGAGUUGCGUGGGCACCUACAACAACAGACCCCCCCCCCAACCGCCUCUGGCCUCUUGGCUGUGCAGCUACCUGGUUCCACACUGCAGAGGCACAGGGGACAUAAAGGCCACUGUCCUGAGCUGCAGAAGUGAACGAGAGAGAGAGAGAGAGAGGGCCUCUCUCAGGCUUCCUGAUGAAAACUGAAGCCCACUGGAAACGUGAAGAGAAUCUCUGCAGUA
Molecule: long non-coding RNA, 734 nt
Filed under: Heterocephalus glaber (naked mole-rat)
Lineage: Eukaryota; Metazoa; Chordata; Mammalia; Rodentia; Bathyergidae
Description: lncRNA (ENSHGLG00100037710.1)
Source: RNAcentral